Quercus lobata is the source of this 385-nucleotide long non-coding RNA. RefSeq lists it as uncharacterized. NCBI's taxonomy places the organism in Eukaryota, Viridiplantae, Streptophyta, Magnoliopsida, Fagales, Fagaceae. The transcript is spliced from 3 exons. The record is from RefSeq and is a predicted model, not a curated record.
CCAUAAAAGAGAAGUUGGAGAGAUGGAAGAUGCAAUGAAAUCUUUAGAGAACAAAAACCUUGGAUUUGAAAAGAAAAAUGGACAUCAUUACUACACUGGAUGGGAUGAAAUCUAUGAAGUUCUUUUUCUUGUAUUUCAUGGACUUAAUCGGCAGACAAGGUACCCCCACAUGUUGAGAAUUGAGUGAGGAUCUUGCAAAAUAUGCGAAAGUGUUAGAAGUAGGGGCUAAUGGAUUGGGCUAUGAGCUGCUAAAAGACUUGGCUCUAUCAGGUUUCCAUUAUUGGCUUCAAGGCUCUUUAUUGUAUGCAUUUUCUUAUGAGACAUUUUGGCUCUGUCUUUGUAUUCAAUAUUGAAGUUAAGGUAGUUAGAUGUAUAGUUUAGUGAU